GAGUGCGAUCAUACCAAUGUUAAUGCACUGGAUCCCCUAAGAACUCUGCAGUUAAGCGUGCAUGGGCUAGAGUAGUACUAUGAUGGGUGACCUCCCAGGAAGUAUUAGUGUUGCACCCU
Picea glauca (white spruce) is the source of this 119-nucleotide non-coding RNA. NCBI's taxonomy places the organism in Eukaryota, Viridiplantae, Streptophyta, Pinopsida, Pinales, Pinaceae. The record is from Rfam.